UCGAGAGGCUUUGGCAAUGGGGGAAACCCUGACCAAGCGACGCCGCGUGGGGGAUGAAGGCCCUUGGGUUGUAAACCCCUUUCGACCGGGAAGAAAGAUCGCCGGGUGAACAAUCCGGCGAUUUGACGGUACCGGUAUAAGAAGCUCCGGCUAACUCCGUGCCAGCAGCCGCGGUAACACGGGGGGAGCGAGCGUUGUUCGGAAUCACUGGGCGUAAAGGGCGUGUAGGCGGUUCGGUAAGUGGGAUGUGAAAGCCCUCGGCUCACCCGAGGAAAGUCAUCUCAUACUGCUGGACUUGAGUGCGGGAGAGGAUGGAGGAAUUCCUGGUGUAGCGGUGAAAUGCGUAGAUAUCAGGAGGAACACCGGUGGCGAAGGCGUCCAUCUGGCCCGUUACUGACGCUGAUGCGCGAAAGCUAGGGGAGCAAACGG
This 429-nucleotide ribosomal RNA is filed under the name uncultured bacterium. Its description in RNAcentral is "bacterial SSU rRNA". It matches the Rfam family "Bacterial small subunit ribosomal RNA", at positions 355 to 775 of the family's 1533-position model. The record is from RNAcentral.